AGGCCCAAGGAAGCAAAAAAAAAAAAUAAAGGGGUUAGCUAAGUCGUCUUCUCUAGCAGAGCGCACCAGCUAUGGAUUCAAAGACGCCGCAACGGCGUCGUCGAAGCAGUGUCAUCCAAAAUGGCACCAUUACCAGAGAGAAGAAGCCCAAACGUAGCGAGGUCCUCGCAAAGAAGAAAGCCGUUGAGCAAUCCAUCAAAUCAGCACGUGCCGAAAAGGAUCACCUUGCUUCCUUCCCUGAGUUCCGCCACUUUGUCAAUAACGGUCUAUCUAUGUGUUUGAAGUCAGGAUGCGGUGAUACACUAUCCUCUCCUGUUAAGCACUAUGUUCAGAGCCUCCUUAAGCUAAAUAUGGAAGGACCCUAUGGAUCUGAGUGGUUGGAUGAAGAAAAGGUGAAGCGCAGAGAAAUGGUUGCUCCAGAAGCACACUAUAUAUUUGUGCACGAGGAUGCCAAUUCAGUUGGUGAUGAGACAAGAAUGAUGUUGAGUGCAGAAGAGGCUUCAACUAGUUGUGUGGAAGAUAGUGGCCCCUUAGUUGGAUUUCUACAUUACCGUUUUGUUCUGGAAGAAGAUGUACCGGUCCUUUAUGUGUAUGAGUUGCAGAUUGAGCCUCGUGUCCAAGGAAAAGGGUUAGGGAAGUUUCUAAUGCAACUAAUUGAGCUUAUUGCCCAAAAGAAGUGCAUGGGUGCUGUCAUGCUAACUGUUCAAAAAGCAAAUUUACUAGCUCUGAAUUUCUAUCUAAGUAAGCUGAGAUACAUCAUAUCAACCAUUUCGCCUUCAAAGAUGGGGAUUGAGAAGAGUUACGAAAUUCUUUGCAAAACAUUUAAUGACGAAGCGAAAACUAUUUUGGAGGUACAGCUCCUAUCCGCACCAUUAGAUUGAUUUUAUCAGAUAGUCUAUCACUGAUUUCACAAAACACACUAAUUUACAGCCAUCUGGAUCACUCAGGUUUAAGACAAUAUAUUAAUUUUUCCUUUUCAGACGAUGGAAAACAGAGGCUUUUGAUAUAUGGUCCAUUAACAUAUACUGAUCAGUUCUUGCGAAUGCAUUACCACACAAGAAUGGAGUUUCUGCCUGAUUCUGCUGUUGAGUUUUGUUAAGGGACAUGCUGAUCUUCCAAUUUUGGGGGGAAUCAAAGAUAAUGUAGUGAACUUUUAGCCAACGGAAGUUCCUUUUAGUAAUAUAUCAUGCAUGUUUUUCUCCUUCUUCCCCUCUCUAUACAGAUUUUUUCAGCAGUUUAGUGUACAUGUUGGACCAACCCCAGUCUAAUAGGAAAAGAUAGUGGUUGAUGAUGGUGUAUUCUUGGGGAAAGACAGCUCAACAUAGCUUCAAUUUUUUAUUUGGUUCUCCAAUAAAUAAUUCAUUGGAAAGUUUUUAAGUAUACCA
Arachis ipaensis is the source of this 1385-nucleotide non-coding RNA. The record is from RefSeq and is a predicted model, not a curated record. NCBI's taxonomy places the organism in Eukaryota, Viridiplantae, Streptophyta, Magnoliopsida, Fabales, Fabaceae.